GCUCCCUUAGCUCAAUUGGCAGAGCAACUGACUCUUAAUCAGUAGGUUGUUGGUUCGAUUCCAACAGGGAGCAC
Molecule: transfer RNA, 74 nt
Filed under: Bremerella cremea
Lineage: Bacteria; Pseudomonadati; Planctomycetota; Planctomycetia; Pirellulales; Pirellulaceae
Also listed under: 1 other name
Description: tRNA-Lys
Rfam family: tRNA
About the family: Transfer RNA (tRNA) molecules are approximately 80 nucleotides in length. Their secondary structure includes four short double-helical elements and three loops (D, anti-codon, and T loops). Further hydrogen bonds mediate the characteristic L-shaped molecular structure. tRNAs have two regions of fundamental functional importance: the anti-codon, which is responsible for specific mRNA codon recognition, and the 3' end, to which the tRNAs corresponding amino acid is attached (by aminoacyl-tRNA synthetases). tRNAs cope with the degeneracy of the genetic code in two manners: having more than one tRNA (with a specific anti-codon) for a particular amino acid; and 'wobble' base-pairing, i.e. permitting non-standard base-pairing at the 3rd anti-codon position.
Source: RNAcentral